CCGAGUUUGAUCAUGGCUCAGGAUGAACGCUAGCGGCAGGCUUAACACAUGCAAGUCGAGGGGUAACAGGGAAGCUUGCUUCUGCUGACGACCGGCGCACGGGUGCGUAACGCGUAUGCAAUCUGCCUCAUACUGAGGGAUAGCCCAGAGAAAUUUGGAUUAAUACCUCAUAGUAUUAUGAUAAGGCAUCUUAUUAUAAUUAAAGGUUACGGUAUGAGAUGAGCAUGCGUCCUAUUAGCUAGUUGGUAUGGUAACGGCAUACCAAGGCAACGAUAGGUAGGGGCCCUGAGAGGGGGAUCCCCCACACUGGUACUGAGACACGGACCAGACUCCUACGGGAGGCAGCAGUAAGGAAUAUUGGUCAAUGGACGAAAGUCUGAACCAGCCAUGCCGCGUGCAGGAUGACUGCCCUAUGGGUUGUAAACUGCUUUUAUAUAGGAAGAAAAACUUUCUCGUGAGAAAGCUUGACGGUACUAUAAGAAUAAGGAUCGGCUAACUCCGUGCCAGCAGCCGCGGUAAUACGGAGGAUCCAAGCGUUAUCCGGAAUCAUUGGGUUUAAAGGGUCCGUAGGUGGACAAAUAAGUCAGAGGUGAAAUCCUGCAGCUCAACUGUAGAACUGCCUUUGAUACUGUUUGUCUUGAGUUAUUAUGAAGUGGUUAGAAUGUGUAGUGUAGCGGUGAAAUGCAUAGAUAUUACACAGAAUACCGAUUGCGAAGGCAGAUCACUAAUAAUCAACUGACACUGAUGGACGAAAGC
This 756-nucleotide ribosomal RNA is filed under the name uncultured bacterium. RNAcentral's name for it is "bacterial SSU rRNA". It matches the Rfam family "Bacterial small subunit ribosomal RNA", at positions 1 to 760 of the family's 1533-position model. The record is from RNAcentral.